AUCUCGCAGUUCACUCAAGGCUGGUUGCAGCAGGGUGCUACGGAGGCUCAACCCCCUGUCCUCAAUGAGUGAAUUUGAGGAUAGCGUCUGUGCAACGUUGAUAAAAAUCCCAUUUUAACUCAGAAGCGAAGCUCGUCACCUUCAGACUCGGGCAGUGAAGGAAUGUGUGGUAAAGGCUCGAGCUGAAGGCCCAGGUGGGAAUUAUUGUUAAGUGUAGAGAAUGAAAACCAGAAUAGAAGUCAGUAUGCAGGUCCAGACUGAAGGAGAGGGAGAGAAGGGAGAGGGUUCACCUGACACUCUCGUGGGACAUGUGUCUCUAUUGUGUUAGGGGGCUAAAAUCAGCACAGAAGGAAAUCUAGAGCCAAAUUCCGAUGUGUUCCGAGGCGCUGCAGAGGGAUCUGUUAGAGAAAUUAGUGAACAACAACACCCACACGGAGCAGAGCUCACCUCCUCCUGUUUGGUGAGUCGGGGUAGACUGUUUGUCAGGCUCAGAGAGGACAGAAGCAGGAACAGAGGGUCAUGGCUGAUCAUGGGGACUUCGGGAAGUCGUGAGCAUCGGACAUGUUACCUGAAGAAGAUUUACCUCCUGAGAGGAGAGAGGAGCAAAGACAAGUGAGCACAGGCAAGUAAUGGGGUUAACCUCUAGCUUUGGUCAAGGCUCUUUAACAAAUGUGCUAAAAUCACAUUUAGGGUGGGCAAUGUUAACCUGUUUGUUAUAAAUGAAAUAGUUGCGGGCUGAACAGUUAAAAGUCAAACGCGCGCACAUGGAUUUGUAUCUUUGAAAGGACUUGCAUGCACCUAAUUUAUUCCCCGGCCUCUUACCCCAACACUAACUCUAACUCAGCCCAUGAACACAAUUUUAAUCUAAACCCUAAAACAAACCUCUGUAGUUGUAAAAAGCAAGAAAAUGUCCUCAAUUUUUGAGUAAACUCUGUAUAUCGCUCCUAAUUCAGCAGAACACAGGGGCACACCUGUGCACACAUGAAUGCACAAUAUGUAUGCCUUUUUGGAAGGAAUGUACAUUACGAUUUGAUGGAUAUCAGCUAAGAGGACUAUGUUUGGAUGCCUCUCAAGGCGGUGCGCCUCUAAAAUCAACACAGGAAGCCCCUCCAUCACACGACCACGUUAGUGGAGGAAAUGCCCUCCCUGAUGACUCCAUUAACACCCAGCCUCUGCCUGCUGCAGCUCCUGCAGGAGGGGAGGCUUCACCGGAUGCCGUAACAUUUAAGAAACCUCUACAGGAGCAGCAAAAGCCCACCUGCGGCCUCACAGCACCCGACAAUGAAGUCCCUCCUCCGUAUCCAGGCCUGGAACAACAGCAGGGGUCACGAUCGGUGGUCCACAGCAGGAAGAGCAGGAGCAGCAGGAGCAAAGUGGCAGCAUCACAGCAACCUGCUGCCUCAGCUGCCGACUGUUGCUUACAGCUGCUGUUGGCGUGUCUCUCCUGUCAGGGCUCUGUGCUCCUCCUGGGGCUGGGGGAGGCCUGCUCCUCCUGUCUCCAUGCUCUCUGCUCGCCCUGCUGUCACGCCUGCGCCGUGUGCUGCUCAGCCCUGCAGGAGGCGCCUGUGGAGGAGCUCAGCUGCCACGCCCACUGCCACAGGGUGCUGUUUGGGUCGUGCUGUGAGCCCAUUGAAUGCCUGGAGUUUUGUCUGGAGUGCUGCGAGAUCUGCCAUCGCGGUUAG
Molecule: long non-coding RNA, 1682 nt
Filed under: Takifugu rubripes (torafugu)
Lineage: Eukaryota; Metazoa; Chordata; Actinopteri; Tetraodontiformes; Tetraodontidae
Description: lncRNA (ENSTRUG00000029068.1)
Source: RNAcentral